UACGGAGGGUGCGAGCGUUGUCCGGAAUCACUGGGCGUAAAGGGCGCGUAGGCGGCGCAGGAAGUCAUCGGUGAAAGUUCAGGGCUCAACUCUGAAUCGGCCGGUGAUACUCUCGUGCUUGAGCACUGUAGAGGCAGGUGGAAUUCCGGGUGUAGCGGUGGAAUGCGUAGAGAUCCGGAAGAACACCGGUGGCGAAGGCGGCCUGCUGGGCAGUAGCUGACGCUGAUGCGCGACAGCGUGGGGAGCAAACAGG
Molecule: ribosomal RNA, 253 nt
Filed under: uncultured bacterium
Lineage: Bacteria
Description: partial 16S ribosomal RNA
Rfam family: Bacterial small subunit ribosomal RNA
Source: RNAcentral